AGUGAACGCUGGCGGUAGGCCUAACACAUGCAAGUCGAACGGCAGCACAGGAGAGCUUGCUCUCUGGGUGGCGAGUGGCGGACGGGUGAGGAAUACAUCGGAAUCUACUUUUUCGUGGGGGAUAACGUAGGGAAACUUACGCUAAUACCGCAUACGACCUACGGGUGAAAGCAGGGGACCUUCGGGCCUUGCGCGAUUGAAUGAGCCGAUGUCGGAUUAGCUAGUUGGCGGGGUAAAGGCCCACCAAGGCGACGAUCCGUAGCUGGUCGGAGGGGAUAAUCGGCCACACUGGAACUGAGACACGGUCCAGACUCCUGCGGGAGGCAGCAGUGGGGAAUAUUGGCCAAUGGGCGCAAGCCUGAUCCAGCCAUACCGCGUGGGUGAAGAAGGCCUUCGGGUUGUAAAGCCCUUUUGUUGGGAAAGAAAUCCAGCUGGCUAAUACCCGGUUGGAAUGACGGUACCCAAAGAAUAAGCACCGGCUAACUUCGUGCCAGCAGCCGCAGUAA
This 506-nucleotide ribosomal RNA is filed under the name uncultured bacterium. Its description in RNAcentral is "partial 16S ribosomal RNA". It matches the Rfam family "Bacterial small subunit ribosomal RNA", at positions 29 to 523 of the family's 1533-position model. The record is from RNAcentral.